AGCACUCCUCCAUGGCCUCUGCUUCAGUUCCUGCCUCCAGGUUCCUGUCCUGCUUGAGUCCCUGCCUUGGAUUCCCUCAAUGAUGAGCUAUGUAAGCCCAGCAAACCCUUUCUUGCUUUUGGUCCUGGAGUUUUACCACAGCAGUAGAAACCUGGCCAGGCUGACACAUCAAGAAGGCACAAGAGACACCAGCUUCCCAGCCUUGUCUUCCCAGCAUCUAGAGACAUGAAAAGGGCUUUUCUGCUAAGUGUAAAUUACCCAGCUUCAAGUAGUCUUUUACAGCAGCUUAAAAUGAGCUAAGAAGCACGGCCACUCAUAGCUGAAUGCUUUAGAAGAAAAACAGAUUCAUCUCUUGCAGUGUGGUGUUUGUGGAGGCUGAGGGUGUGGGGUGCAGGUUUCCGGCCAUGUGGCAGGUCGUGUCCUUGCAUAGAGGGUGGUGUGAUUAUGUGAAAGCUGUCUUUAUAUAUGGCGCGUGGUCAUUGCCCUGGGAGAGCAGUGUCUGCCUGAGUGUCUGGGCUGGAGAAUCCAUCAGGGCUGUGCCAUGAUGCCUGUGGCUGAGAAUGUACGUUUCCGGAAGACAUUUAGCAUUCGAGCUGAUGGACAAAGCAGAGAUCACCCUCAUUAACGUGGGUGGCAGCAUCCACUCUGCAGAGGCCCAAACAGAAUAAAGUGUGAGAGCAAAGUGACUUUCUCUUCAUGAGCUGAGAGACCCAUCUCCUGACCCCAUACACAAGUGCUUCAGAGCCUCAGACUACAAGUCAUGCCAUGAACUUCCCUGGGGCCCAGGCCUUGAGACUCAGCUUUCUUGGAUUUUCUGCUUGCAAAUGACAUUUCCCGAGACUUCACAGAUGAUGUAAUCUAUAAGCCCAUUACCAAAUUGACUCUCCACUGUGUCUCUCCACAGGACCCAGGGGCUGGACAUGGAGACACUGGCUGGAUGUGGAGACAUUACAUCCUUUCAGCUCCUUUCACGCCUGGAGCAGCUGUGGCUACCCUAUGUCUUGUCUCCCAUGUGAUCCUCUUUCAGAUGUCCAUUUUAGAUUUGCCAGAACGAUUCUUCAGAUUCUAUUUUCAUUCAGGGUAUAAGGCUGGUCGGCUAAAACCUGGCCUCUCAAAAGAUAUUCAUGUCCUUAUCUAUGGGGUCUGUGAAUAUCAACGCAUAUGGCAGAGGGAGGGGGGUAGAUUUCUGCAGGAGGGAUUAAAGCAGUGGUCCU
Molecule: long non-coding RNA, 1214 nt
Filed under: Mus musculus (house mouse)
Lineage: Eukaryota; Metazoa; Chordata; Mammalia; Rodentia; Muridae
Description: predicted gene, 49755
Source: RNAcentral